RNAcentral lists this transfer RNA (65 nucleotides) under human gut metagenome. It matches the Rfam family "tRNA", at positions 5 to 66 of the family's 71-position model. From Rfam's summary of the family: Transfer RNA (tRNA) molecules are approximately 80 nucleotides in length. Their secondary structure includes four short double-helical elements and three loops (D, anti-codon, and T loops). Further hydrogen bonds mediate the characteristic L-shaped molecular structure. tRNAs have two regions of fundamental functional importance: the anti-codon, which is responsible for specific mRNA codon recognition, and the 3' end, to which the tRNAs corresponding amino acid is attached (by aminoacyl-tRNA synthetases). tRNAs cope with the degeneracy of the genetic code in two manners: having more than one tRNA (with a specific anti-codon) for a particular amino acid; and 'wobble' base-pairing, i.e. permitting non-standard base-pairing at the 3rd anti-codon position. The record is from RNAcentral.
AUUAUAGCUCAGUUGGUAGAGCAAUUGAUUCGUAAUCAAUAGGUCGGGAGUUCGAUUCUCCCUAA